Molecule: long non-coding RNA, 1172 nt
Organism: Prionailurus viverrinus (fishing cat)
Lineage: Eukaryota; Metazoa; Chordata; Mammalia; Carnivora; Felidae
Exons: 3
Source: RefSeq, a predicted model, not a curated record
GUCACUGGUUUCCGGGGAGGAAGGGGGAGGGGAUGGAUGAGUGCAAGAACAAAGACACCGCCCUGUGCCUGCACCUGCGCCACCCAGCAGCUUCCAGGCUUCCGCCCCCACCCUUUGUGGCCCUGUACCCCCUUUGGCCAGAGGAGACGCAGGCCUGAGAUUACUGUGCCGCUGUGCAGGGAGUAGAGUACCUGCCCUACCCAGAUACAGACCAACCACAUGGGAUGCUAUUGACAUGGGAAGAAGGAUUUCAAGUUCCUUAGACCAGAGGAAAGAGAGAGCGUGAGUGAAGGAGGGGAAGAGAGAGAUGGAGACACAGAAUCUGAAGCAGGCUCCAGUCUCCAGGCUGUCAGCACAGAGCCUCACGUGGGGCUCGAACUCACAAGCUGUGAGAUCAUGACCCGGGAUCAUAUUUCUUUCAACAAGGAUUCAUUGAGUGCCGGCUAGCACCAGGUGCUAUACUUAGCUAUAGGGAUAAAAUGAUAAAGAAAAGAAAUAUGGCCCCUGCUCUCCUGCAAUUAACAGUCUAGCAGUAUUUUCUUUUUAUAAGCAAUUUUCAUAGAAUAAUUGACUUUUAAUUAACUGAUUUUAAUAAACAAAUGGAUUUUUUCCAAUUUUAUUAAGAUAUAAUUGACAUGUGAUAGUGGUUUUGAUCAGGGAAACAAAGGCAAGAAAAAUGUAGUUCAAAUUUCCUUACAGCUUGCAAGCCCACUGAUAGAUACCUGAAAUAUGCAGAGCGUGACCUUCCUCAAAGAACUCGUAGCUGCCUUAAUGCCUUAAAGUCUAUAUUUUAUUAAACGCUAAAAGUGACCUUACUUAACAGCAACUAGCCCCUCAAGGUCCUGAAAGCCUUGCUUCAAAAUUCCUUAGAAACUUACUUUACCUCUAUGCCCCUUCCCUCCACAAACUUAAAAGUAUAUAAUCAAGUCACUCCUUAACAAUCCCAGUACAGUUCUUUCUGCACCAUCCCCAUGCUAUAAUAAAAUCACCUUUUUGCACCAAAAAUGUCUCAAGAAUUUUUUUCUUAGCUGUUCUCUCAUGAACCCCACUUCAAAUUUCAUCAGUUUGAAGAAAGCACAAUAGUUGCACUAAUGAAUAAAUUAGAAGUUAAGGGUUCUGGGGGCGCCUGGGUGGCUCAGUCGGUUGGGCGUCCGACUUCAGCUCAGGUCACG